RNAcentral lists this ribosomal RNA (468 nucleotides) under uncultured bacterium. RNAcentral describes it as "partial 16S ribosomal RNA". It matches the Rfam family "Bacterial small subunit ribosomal RNA", at positions 28 to 507 of the family's 1533-position model. The record is from RNAcentral.
GACGAACGCUGGCGGCGUGCUUAACACAUGCAAGUCGAACGGAAAGGCCCUGCUUUUGUGGGGUGCUCGAGUGGCGAACGGGUGAGUAACACGUGAGUAACCUGCCCUUGACUUUGGGAUAACUUCAGGAAACUGGGGCUAAUACCGGAUAGGAGCUCCUGCUGCAUUGUGGGGGUUGGAACGUUUCGGCGGGUGGGGAUGGACUCGCGGCUUAUCAGCUUGUUGGUGGGGUAGUGGCUUACCAAGGCUUUGACGGGUAGCCGGCCUGAGAGGGUGACCGGCCACAUUGGGACUGAGAUACGGCCCAGACUCCUACGGGAGGCAGCAGUGGGGAAUAUUGCACAAUGGGCGGAAGCCUGAUGCAGCAACGCCGCGUGCGGGAUGACGGCCUUCGGGUUGUAAACCGCUUUCGCCUGUGACGAAGCGUGAGUGACGGUAAUGGGUAAAGAAGCACCGGCUAACUACGUG